GGGGUCGUGGCCCAGGGGCUGAGCAUCUGUUUUGCAUGCAGAAGGUCCCAGGUUCAAUCACUGGUAUCUUCA
RNAcentral lists this transfer RNA (72 nucleotides) under Sphaerodactylus townsendi. RNAcentral describes it as "tRNA-Ala". It matches the Rfam family "tRNA". From Rfam's summary of the family: Transfer RNA (tRNA) molecules are approximately 80 nucleotides in length. Their secondary structure includes four short double-helical elements and three loops (D, anti-codon, and T loops). Further hydrogen bonds mediate the characteristic L-shaped molecular structure. tRNAs have two regions of fundamental functional importance: the anti-codon, which is responsible for specific mRNA codon recognition, and the 3' end, to which the tRNAs corresponding amino acid is attached (by aminoacyl-tRNA synthetases). tRNAs cope with the degeneracy of the genetic code in two manners: having more than one tRNA (with a specific anti-codon) for a particular amino acid; and 'wobble' base-pairing, i.e. permitting non-standard base-pairing at the 3rd anti-codon position. Lineage: Eukaryota; Metazoa; Chordata; Lepidosauria; Squamata; Sphaerodactylidae. The record is from RNAcentral.